Molecule: ribosomal RNA, 751 nt
Filed under: uncultured Halorubrum sp.
Lineage: Archaea; Methanobacteriati; Methanobacteriota; Halobacteria; Halobacteriales; Haloferacaceae
Description: bacterial SSU rRNA
Rfam family: Archaeal small subunit ribosomal RNA
Source: RNAcentral
UUCGGAGCACGAUACCCUCGGGAAACUGAGGCUAAUAGUGCAUACCACACUCAUCCUGGAAUGGCGAGUGUGCCAAACGCUCCGGCGCCGAAGGACGUGGCUGCGGCUGAUUAGGUAGACGGUGGGGUAACGGCCCACCGUGCCGAUAAUCGGUACGGGUGGUGAGAGCCAGAACCCGGAGACGGAAUCUGAGACAAGAUUCCGGGCCCUACGGGGCGCAGCAGGCGCGAAACCUUUACACUGCACGACAGUGCGAUAAGGGGAUCCCAAGUGCGUAGGCAUAGAGCCUACGCUUUUGUACACCGUAGGGAGGUGUACGAAUAAGGGCUGGGCAAGACCGGUGCCAGCCGCCGCGGUAAUACCGGCAGCCCGAGUGAUGGCCGAUCUUAUUGGGCCUAAAGCGUCCGUAGCUGGCCGCACAAGUCCAUCGGAAAAUCCACCCGCUCAACGGGUGGGCGUCCGGUGGAAACUGUGUGGCUUGGGACCGGAAGGCGCGACGGGUACGUCCGGGGUAGGAGUGAAAUCCCGUAAUCCUGGACGGACCGCCGAUGGCGAAAGCACGUCGCGAGAACGGAUCCGACAGUGAGGGACGAAAGCUAGGGUCUCGAACCGGAUUAGAUACCCGGGUAGUCCUAGCCGUAAACGAUGCCUGUUAGGUGUGGCUCCCACUACGAGUGGGUGCUGUGCCGUAGGGAAGCCGCUAAACAGGCCGCCUGGGAAGUACGUCCGCAAGGAUGAAACUUAAAGGAAU